RNAcentral lists this ribosomal RNA (491 nucleotides) under uncultured bacterium. Its description in RNAcentral is "bacterial SSU rRNA". It matches the Rfam family "Bacterial small subunit ribosomal RNA", at positions 9 to 524 of the family's 1533-position model. The record is from RNAcentral.
GAGUUUGAUCAUGGCUCAGGAUAAACGCUGGCGGCGUGCCUAAUCAAUGCGAGUCGAACGGGCACCUUCGGGUGUCAGUGGCGUCCGGGUGAGUAACGCGUAGCUAACCUGCCUCCAUGUGGGGGAUACCCGUCAGAAAUGGCGGCUAAUACCGCAUAGCGUGACACGGGGCAACCUGUGGCACGAAAGCCGCAAGGUGCAAGGAGAGGAGGCUGCGUCUGAUUAGCUGGUCGGUGGGGUAACGGCCUACCGAGGCGACGAUCAGUAGCUGGUCUGAGAGGAUGGUCAGCCACACUGGGACUGAGACAUGGUCCAGAGCUCUACGGGGUUUAGCAUGAAGGGAUAUUGCGCAAUGGGCGAAAGCCUGACGCAGCAACGCCGCGUGUGGGACGACGCCUCUCGGGGUGUAAACCACUUUUCCCAGGGAAGAAGGAUGUGACGGUACCUGGGGAAGAAGCCUUGGCUAAGUACGUGCCAGCAGCCGCGGUAAU